RNAcentral lists this ribosomal RNA (507 nucleotides) under Arthrobacter sp. RNAcentral's name for it is "bacterial SSU rRNA". It matches the Rfam family "Bacterial small subunit ribosomal RNA", at positions 154 to 663 of the family's 1533-position model. The record is from RNAcentral. Lineage: Bacteria; Bacillati; Actinomycetota; Actinomycetes; Micrococcales; Micrococcaceae.
AAACGGGGUCUAAUACUGGAUAUUGACAUGAUCCCGCAUGGGGUGGUGUUGAAAGAUUUAUUGGUUUUGGAUGGACUCGCGGCCUAUCAGCUUGUUGGUGAGGUAAUGGCUCACCAAGGCGACGACAGGUAGCCGGCCUGAGAGGGUGACCGGCCACACUGGGACUGAGACACGGCCCAGACUCCUACGGGAGGCAGCAGUGGGGAAUAUUGCACAAUGGGCGAAAGCCUGAUGCAGCGACGCCGCGUGAGGGAUGACGGCCUUCGGGUUGUAAACCUCUUUCAGUAGGGAACAAGGCCAGUCGUUGAUUGGUUGAGGGUACUUGCAGAAGAAGCGCCGGCUAACUACGUGCCAGCAGCCGCGGUAAUACGUAGGGCGCAAGCGUUAUCCGGAAUUAUUGGGCGUAAAGAGCUCGUAGGCGGUUUGUCGCGUCUGCCGUGAAAGUCCGGGGCUCAACCCCGGAUCUGCGGUGGGUACGGGCAGACUAGAGUGAUGUAGGGGAGACUG